GUCUUUUAGAUUUAAAUUAAAGGUUUAACCUGCCCAUUGGUUUAUUAAAAGGCUGCGGUAUUUUGACCGUACAAAGGUAGCAUAGUCAUUAGUUUUUUAAUUGAGAACUUGUAUGAAUGGUUGGAUGAAAUAUUAACUGUUUUAUAAAAAAUUUUAGAAUUUUACUUUUUAAUUAAAAGGUUAAGAUAUAUUUAAAAGACGAGAAGACCCUAUAGAGUUUUAUAUUUUUUUAUUUAUAUAGAAUUUAGAUUAUUUAUUUUUAUAGAUAAAUAUAUAUUUUAUUGGGGUGAUGAUAAAAUUUAAUAAACUUUUAUUAAUAAAAUACAUAAAUAUAUGAUUGUUUGAUCCAUUAGUAAUGAUUAUAAGUUUAAAUUACCUUAGGGAUAACAGCGUAAUUUUUUUUUAAGUUCUUAUUAAUAAAAAAGAUUGCGACCUCGAUGUUGGAUUAAGAUUAAUUUUAGGUGCAGAAGUUUAAAUUUUAAGUCUGUUCGACUUUUAAAUUCUU
This 505-nucleotide ribosomal RNA is filed under the name Leptosciarella dimera. RNAcentral describes it as "partial small subunit ribosomal RNA". Lineage: Eukaryota; Metazoa; Arthropoda; Insecta; Diptera; Sciaridae. The record is from RNAcentral. RNAcentral also lists the same sequence under 1 other name.